GUUCGAUGUCGUCAACAAAUUCACCAUAGCAGUUAUCUACCAUGACCAUGCAGCCUGGGUUCUGCAUCUUGAUUAUAUCAAUUGCUCGACCUAUCUCAGUGACACUCAAACUGCGACGCCAAGAAUAACCACAUGAUCUCUGUAUGAGUGCACACUUAGUGUGAGGUCUUAUAGAGGUUUUAAGUGCAUCCCAAUCAAGCCCGCCAUCCUCUGCAAGUGGGACUUCCCGGUAUUCUACUCCAAAAUCUUUCAAGGAACCGAAUCCACCAGAGUCCCUUUUUCCAAUUACUUCCUCCAGAGUAUCAUAAGGUGCACCAGCUAUCGCUAACAACUCAUCCCCUGGCCUUAAGAAAGCGAAUAAGGCACAAGUGAUUGCAUGAGUACCUGAGAAGAACUGUGAUCG
This 403-nucleotide unclassified non-coding RNA is filed under the name Hevea brasiliensis (rubber tree). The record is from RNAcentral. Lineage: Eukaryota; Viridiplantae; Streptophyta; Magnoliopsida; Malpighiales; Euphorbiaceae.